UACAACUUUCAACAACGGAUCUCUUGGCUCUCGCAUCGAUGAAGAACGCAGCGAAAUGCGAUAAGUAAUGUGAAUUGCAGAAUUCAGUGAAUCAUCGAAUCUUUGAACGCACCUUGCACCCUUUGGCUAUUCCGAAGGGCAUGCCUGUUUGAGUAUCAUGAGCACCUCAACUCUCGUGGCUUUGCCCAUGAUGAGCUUGGACUUUGGGGGUCUUUGCUGGCUUACGGUCGGCCCCUCUCAAACGAAUCAGCUUGCCAGUGUUUGGCGGCAUCACAGGUGUGAUAACUAUCUGCGCUUGUGGUUUCCCGCUAGAUAACCUUCAGCGAUGGAGGUUCGCUGGAGCUCAUAAAUGUCUCUCCUCAGCGAGGACAGCACUUUGACUGUUUGAUCUCAAAUCAGGUAGGACUACCCGCUGAA
Molecule: ribosomal RNA, 417 nt
Filed under: uncultured Tomentella
Lineage: Eukaryota; Fungi; Basidiomycota; Agaricomycetes; Thelephorales; Thelephoraceae
Description: eukaryotic LSU rRNA
Rfam family: 5.8S ribosomal RNA (bases 4-158)
Source: RNAcentral